This 7015-nucleotide long non-coding RNA is filed under the name Homo sapiens (human). RNAcentral's name for it is "HSALNT0208660". Lineage: Eukaryota; Metazoa; Chordata; Mammalia; Primates; Hominidae. The record is from RNAcentral.
CCCAUACAAAGAAAGCUGUAUUUACAUUACUUCUUUUCAUGGCUGUAAAGUCGAAAAGAAAAUUGAGAUUAUUUUGUAGUAUCCACUGCAGAUGCUAAUCACCAGAUUUGCUUUCUUCUUGUGGGAAACCUUCUGCUUGGGGAUACCUGACGAUUAACUAUACAUACAUAGCAUAUAUAUACAUGUAUGUACCUGUCACCAGCAUUUCUUACCAUAAAUGAGCUUCCUAUCAUUCUGAAAUAUCCAAAGAUGCCUGAAACAUUCUUCAAAAAAUUUCAUAAAUUGAGUAAGAAUAGGAACUAUUUUCUGUGGGAUUUUUUUCUGUAAACUUUUUGUAGUCCUAUUUUGUUUAUCCACAGAACUUUACUUUUCUCUUCCCCACACUCCUCUUUAAGUUAUAAUUGUAGAUUUUUGCAGCUUUUUUGCUUAUGAAUUGCUCAAGUGGGCUGUCAGGUAAAGCUUCUCAAUUUAAAUUCUAUAUUUAGACAUACACUUUCCACGUCUGAUUUUUUUUCCUUACCUUUCUUAAGCAGCAUUUAGCAGGAUGUGUGUUGACGUGUGUGCAGUGUAAAUAUGUGCUUUAAAUGACUAAGUUUCCUGGAUAACCUAGGACUUAUAGAGAGAUUAGGUACUACAGCUUAGAAGAUCAUUUCUCACAAUUUCUUGGAACUAUAGGGUGUGGGCAGGAAGACUGGAGCCUUUUAUCUUCCACCAUGUCAUAUAGCCAUUUAAAACCUUCAGUGUUUUUCAGUAGCUUUGAUUUUACACUGGGUCCAAGCCACACGUAGAUGUGCCAUAUAUUAAAUAAGACAAAUUAUAUAGAAAAUUUAAGUAGGGGAUAUGGCCACACCUAUGACCAAAGUUUUUUAUUCUAACCUUUUAUGUUCAGAGAAUAUCAAAAUCUGUAAAAAGCUCUCAUUUGAAGAAAGAUGUUCCCUGUCCUUUCCUCAGCUAAAGAUGAUGACAUGUUGAGGAAUUUGAUAAAAAAUUAGUUCCGUAAGUAUUAUCACUACAAAGAAGCAAAAGCCAUCUUCUGAUGGUAAAAUUGAGAGCCAGUCAAAUGUCAACUGAUCCAAAUGGCUGAAAAUAAAAUGUCAGAAUGAGGAAACCUUGCUGAACACAUUUUACUUUAAAUAGCUGCCAAGAACAGGAUUCUUUUAGGGGUGACUAUGCCCGCUCUGUGGACAGCAACUACACUCCAGAAAUAAAGGAACCAUAUAUGCAUUUCUCCUUCUGCUAAGGAGAAGCUUAAAGGCUAACCUCUGGGCCCCUUGACUUGCUCUUCAAGACAGACCACUUUCAGGGUUCAUCAAUACUACAAGCUUUCUGUCAUCAAGGGUGUGUGCUGCAGGAUUGGAACAUCUGGGCAUGGCUACUCCAGCACAAAACACACAGCCAGCACCGCACACACACACACACACACACAGACACACACACACAGUGUUCUUGUUACUAACUAGAUGCAACUAGUUAACUUGUUCCUUCACUAGUCAUGCAGUACAUAAUGACACUUAGGUCAAUGACUGACCACAUACAUAACAAUGGUUCCAUAAAAUUAUAAUACUUUACAUUUACUGUACCUUUUCUAUGUUCUGAUACACAAAUACUUGCCAUUGAGCUACAAUUUCCAACAGUAUUCAGUACAGUAAUGUGCUGUACAGGUUUGUAACCUAGGAGCAAUAGCCUAUACCAGAUAGCCUAGGUGUGUAGUAGGCUAUACCAUUUAGGUUUGUGUAAGCACAUUCUGAUGUUUGCGCAACAACGAAAUCGCCUAAGGAUGUGACUUAAACAAUGCAUGACUCUAUUUCAUUUAUAUUUCUACUGGAGAGCUAGUAUUUUUUGCUCUUGCGUAGUUCAAAUUCAGUCUUUCCUCACUGGCCCCCGAACCUAUCUGUUAAUUCCAAGUUGAACAGCUCUUUCUCUGCAGGACCCAACCUUGACUGUGGGCUUCUAUUUCUCAAUCCUUGAUUCCCCUUAAACCAAUUUUAAUCAAGUUUCCCUACUCUAAUUUUUAAAAAUGGUACUUCAAAUAUCAACACUCUGCCUCAAAUCUCACAGAAUAAUCUAGUUUCUCCUAUGAUGAUUGUUUGCUCUUCAUAUUUUUACCUUUAAAGAAAAAAAACCUCACACUAAAAAUCAAUUGUUUCUGAAAAUGAUAUUAAUCUCUUUCUUCUAGAGCCUGUCACAUUUUAACUUUCUCUAUUUCUUAUUCUAUGUUAUAAAUUUCUCGUUAAAAAAUGCCAAAUAUAGACUUCUCACCUUCCUUGUCUUUAAAACCCAAUUAAAUUACUAUUAUUUUUCUCAUAUCUAAAGAGUGUUAUAUUAAAUCUACCUAGGAUUAGACCAAGGUGUUCGCCAGGUCACACUACAUGUCUUCAGAAGUUGAAAAUGUACUUACGGUUUUGAAAACUAGUCAUUCUUUAAAAUACUGUUAAAGUGCAGUGUACUUAAAACAAUCUCAGAAAAACCUUUUUGUAAUUUGAAUUUCACCAACUAAUUAUCUUCCUUGUGAAUUCUAAUCUUAAUAAAUUGAGUUGUUGUAAAGCAAGUACCACCUAUACUUAAUCUCCACGUCCUCAGGAAAAUAUUUUGGAGCACUGGAGACAAAGGCUUUACGUUCUUUAGCUGCUCUGUUCUGCUCGCCCUGUAGACCAGAGAUCUCAAAUGUUUUGGUCUCAUGAGUCCUUAACAUUCUUAAGAAGUAUGGAGGAUUCCAAAGAGCCUUUUUUAUGUUGGUUAUAUCUAUUAAUAUUUACCAUAUUACAAAUUUAAAACUCAGGAAUUUUAAGGACAUGUAUUUAUUAAUAAAUAGCUUAAAAUAACAAUAAACCCAUUUUAUGUUAACAUAAAUAUGUAUUAAUGAAACAUAACUAUAUUUUCCAAAUGACAAAAAAUUAGUGAGAUGGAUUUGGCUCCACAUUUUUGCAAAUUUCACUAACGUCUGGCUAACAGCUGGAUGUUCAUAUGUGCAUCUGCAUUCAGUCUGUUGUGAUAACUCACUUCACGUUUCAUCUGCAAAACUCAACUGCACACUUCUUAGAGACUAGGAGUGGAAAGACAAGUAAUAUUACAAAAAAAUAGUUUUGACUUUGAGAACCCCCUGAAGGUGUCUUAAGAACCCCUUAAGAGUCCUCAGAUGACACUUUGAGAACUGCUGCUAUAGAGUCAUAGUAUUUGUUCAAAUUAAGAAGUAAAGUCUAAGUAGAGUGAGGAACAAUGGUGGAGAUAGUAAAUGCAGAAGAGUGUAAUGUGUCUAACUGAGAAAGGACAAGGUUAUGUUAGGAUGGAGCAAACCUGCUGGCCAUUAACUGGUAGAAUCAUAAUGAGAUUUUUGUCUUAGGAUAAGUUACAAACAGGGUUGGAGGAUGUAUUUGGCAAAAGGGCAAGAUGUGUGGUAGGUGAUGGUAGAGUACUCUAGAAAAUUUUAGUGUGUCCUUUCUUCUUUCUCUGCAAUUCUGUGGGGAAUGAGCAUCACCUUUUCCAGCAAAGGCUAUCUAGUCUGAAAUACUACCACUUUACCACAUUAUUUUAUAUAUUCUUAAGGACAUGUCUUUCAGUUCCAAGCAUCAUUCUGCUCCCUUAGUCCCAAUCGUAUAGGAAAGAGAUACUUGUCUUGCAUAGUAAACACAAAAACCAAGAACAGCAACAAGAAGUAAGCAAACAAACAAGCAAAAUAUUGGCACAAAGAUCAUGUUUAUAACCUUGUUUGUGGAGAAGAAAACUCAAGGGUAUCAUUUUUAUUAAAUUUCUGUUCAACAAAUUUCUUCUUGACAUCAUAGUUUUCUAUCACCUUACUUAUUCAGUUGCUGUUUCAGUUGUUACUAUGAAAACAGAACACGCCUAAACAGAUUUACCUCCAAUGGAAAUCAGAUGUUUUCAUGGGAAGGUGUGCCUUUUCUUCACCCUUUGAUCACCCUCUUUGUGGGCCUCUGAUUUCAGGCCCAUGCUGUUGAGGAAGAGAGUACUUCCAGGUUUGGAGAUGGAGGCAGGGGCCCCAGUAAUGUAGCAGGUCCUGCUUUCGGUAAGUGGGUGCCACUGUCUUCCCAUAGCUACUUAAAAGCUGUAGGAAGUAUAGUGUGUUUCCUACUAAGUCCGCUUGCCAGUCCUGGUUUUUUAAUUAUAUGUUUAGAAAUGAGUUUCUCCACUGAAACAAUGGUUACAUGGAGAGUUUUUUUUUUCCUAUAGUCUUCAUAGAAUGACUACUUUUUUAAAAAAAAUUAAUUAUUAGAGUCCUCUGUGUGCAUGAGAGGGAAAGACUGAGACAGAGUGAGAGAGGAAAGAAAGGGUAAUUUUGUUUUCAGGAUUAAGAAUCUGUAUCAAAAAGAUCUACUAAGCAAACUUACCAAAGCCAUACUCUGGUUUGAGCUAAGAGAGGCCAAUCUUUUGUUGAACAGCCUAAUGUAAUAAAUUGCAAUCGAAGGGCUUUAGAUUUCUGUACAAAGUUUUCAACCAGAUCUAAUUGGAAGUGCAACUCACAUAGCCAGGAGCAUUCUAAAAAACAGAGCAGUGAAUUAACACUAUUUUUAAAAGUCAAGAAGUCUCUUCUCCUUCCAAAGGAGAGUUUUUCAGACAUUAGCUUCAACUGCCAAACAUUAUACAGAAAGUCCUUUUAUAGAGAUUUUCUCCCUUGACCUUCUAGUUUUCCCCCUCUUUCCACUCUAUCUCCACUCCCCUUUCCUGCUCUCUCCUUUCCCUGCCAAUUCUUCACCGCACUCCCAACCAUCAGCUGUGAAGGAAGCAAGGAUUGUAUCAUAAAUGACCUAUUAAUCAGCGGUUUCCUAGAUAAUUUUGCUGAGGAAAGUAGAGUUUUGGAGAACCUAGGCUGGUUUCCAGUCAAAUAAGAAAAUGUUCAAUAUGUAUCUGAAGCUUUUGUUAAAUUAGAUUGAGGUAGUGAUUAUAUCUGACUGCAAAAAAAAAAACUUUAAAGUGUCUUUUUUCCUAAACUAUGGAGUUUUUUUAUGUGAUAACACUGGAUUUACCAAUGUAUCUGCUUAAUCUUAGCAAAUGGCAGUGUAGACAUACCCUUGUUCAAAAUGACCCUCUUAGGUAGAGUCAUUUAAAUGGGGGAUAGUAAACUAAUCUUUCUUUUUAUCCUCCCUCAUUCCCACCCUGCACUACAUCCUCCUCGAAUAUUGGAGCAGUUCCAGCAGAUGUCUUAUGAAAAUAAGAGCCAGAGGUAAAAUAGUACCUUCCUCACCGCCCACCACACGCUCCCAAGAUACCCAGGCCCUAAUCUACAGAGUGUGUGAAUAUGUUAUGUUACACGACAAAGGGACUUGGCAGAAGUGAUUACGGCCAUAGACCUUGAGAAGGAGAGAUUUUCCUGGAUCAUCUUGGUAGACCCAAUCAUAAUACAUGAGCCCUUAAAAGCAGAUUAUUUUCUCCAGCUGGAAUCAUAAGGAUGUAGCGGGAGGAAUGUGGUAGAAGUGAAAGUGAGAGAGACUGAAAGAAGGCAAAUGAUGUGACACAUUGCUACUGGUUUGAAGAGGGAGGUGGAAGGUUGACAAAGAAUGCAGGAAACCUUAAAGAGCCGAAGAAGCUGGACUGACAGCCAGCGGGGAAACAGUGACCUUAGCCCUACAACCAAAAGGAGCUCAAUUCUGCCAACAGAGCUUGAAAGCAGAUUCCUCAGAGCUUCCAGAUGAGAGCAGAUUGGCAGGCACAUUGAUUUCAUCCUCACAAGACCUGGAGCAGACCAACCAGCUGACCACCUGAACCCCCCGUACAUCCGACCUGCAGAAUUAUGAAGAAACAGAGACUCCAAAAGAUCAAGUGUCUUUUCUCAGACCACGUAGCAGAGUUGAUACCAGAGCCCAAGUUUACUUCCUCCUGCAUACAAGCAAGCAGAACAAGGCAAAGAGCAAAGCAGAAGAACCCAGAAUGGCAAACUUAUCUUCAUGUUUCAUGUAAAGAAAUAUUCCAACUCCUUUUCCCAGUGAAUAAGACUUAUUGCCUCUAAAAUACACUUCUUACUGACACCACAUUUCUCUCCUAGCAUAAACUAUGACAUUUUUCCCAAAUUAUUAAUUAUAACUGUCAUUUCUGAGCCCAGAGCCAGAGAUAAUCAUACUGCUGAAAACCAAGCUGGUUCUUAUACUAAAAAUGAAGAAAUGUGGGAAAACAUCUAUAAAUCACCCUCCAACCUAUUUUAGUCAAAAAGAAACCUGUGUAUCUCAUAGUUGAAAGUCAAACUUAUAGGAUUACAAGCAGAACCAUCAUCUAAUUUAUUGUCUAAAUGGGACACCUUUUGAGAGUGAUGGAGAAAGCUAUUUAUAAUUACUCUACAACAAGAACCAUAAACCGAUACUAGUCUGGGCACCCUAGCUAUCAGAUAAUUUAUUUCUGAAUCACAAAAACAGUCCUUCUCUAAUAUUUUCUUAAGAAUCCAAUCACUUUCAUAUGUGAAAAAAUUCAUUGCUAGAGAAUGCAUUUUAAAAAAAUUAACAGACUUUAACUUUUAGAGUAAUUUUAGGUUUAUAGAAAAACUAGCACAAAGUACAGGGUUCCUAUAUGCCCCCUGAUCCACUCCUCCCCAUUUUCCCUUAUUAUUCACACCUUGCACUGGUGUAGUACAUCUGUCAUUAUUGAUGAGCUAAUAUUGAUACAUUAUUAUUAACUAAAAUCCAUAGUUUACAUUAGGAUUCAUUCUGUGGUGUAUAUUCUAUAGGUUUUAUCAAAUGUGUAAUGACAGGUAUCCACUGUUACAGUAUCAUACAGAAGAAUGUCACUGCCCUAAAUAUCCUCUGUGCUCUGCCUAUUGGUCCCUCCCUCCCGCCAAACUGCUGGCAAUCACUGGUAUCUUUAGUGUCUCUAUUAUAGUUUUGUAAAGAAUGGCACAUGGUUGAAAUCAUACAGUAUGUAUGUAGCCUUUUCAUACUGGCUUCUUUCCAGUCAUUUGUUUUUUAAAUUUCAAAUCCUUAUUGUUAAGUAAGAACACAACAUUAUGAAGAAAGAAGUGAUUAUUUUAAAUAUACCAUACGAUUUAAAGACUCCUGUGCAAGAGCCGGGCACGGUG